Molecule: ribosomal RNA, 392 nt
Filed under: uncultured bacterium
Lineage: Bacteria
Description: partial 16S ribosomal RNA
Rfam family: Bacterial small subunit ribosomal RNA
Source: RNAcentral
AUACGGAGGAUCCGAGCGUUAUCCGGAUUUAUUGGGUUUAAAGGGUGCGCAGGCGGCCAUUUAAGUCAGCGGUUAAAUCGUGGGGCUCAACCCCAUUCUGCCGUUGAUACUGGGUGGCUUGAUUGCGGUCGAGGUUGGCGGAAUUCGUGGUGUAGCGGUGAGAUGCUUAGAUAUAACGAAGAACUCCGAUUGCGAAGGCAGCCUGCUGGACUGUAACUGACGCUGAUGCUCGAAAGUGUGGGUAUCAAACAGGAUUAGAUACCCUGGUAGUCCACACAGUAAACGAUGAAUACUCGCUGUUUGCGAUAUACAGUAAGCGGCCAAGCGAAAGCGUUAAGUAUUCCACCUGGGGAGUACGCCGGCAACGGUGAAACUCAAAUGAAUUGACGGGG